GGGAGUGAAUGUUUCGAUGGAUUGUUCUUUAAAGCAAGGCAAGUUGAGCUUUCUUGGGGCUCACUAAUAUCUAAGAAAAAACAUAAUUGCUAAUUUUAAUUUUAAUAAGCAACCCGCGUUAGCUUUCGCUUAAUGCGGCAUCCUUACCGUUGACUCCUAAUAAAUGGACCAAGGGUGUUAUAUUAUUAGGAUAGAUAAUUUAUUUCUUCGAGAAAUUAUCGAAACUAAGAAGAUAAGGCAUUAAAAAUUUUGUUAUUUUUUUAUUUAAUGUCCCAAAAACAAAAAUGGCUAAACUUGUAGAAUUGCUUUAGAAAACUUUUCAGACGCGAGUUCAAUCUCGCCACUUCCACCC
This 352-nucleotide transfer-messenger RNA is filed under the name Candidatus Jorgensenbacteria bacterium RIFCSPLOWO2_12_FULL_42_11. It matches the Rfam family "transfer-messenger RNA". Rfam says of the family: Bacterial tmRNA, also known as 10Sa RNA or SsrA, is named for its dual tRNA and mRNA-like properties. Its role is to liberate the mRNA from a stalled ribosome. The record is from RNAcentral. Lineage: Bacteria; Candidatus Joergenseniibacteriota. RNAcentral also lists the same sequence under 1 other name.